CAAGGAAUCUUCCGCAAUGGGGGCAACCCUGACGGAGCAACGCCGCGUGGGGGAUGACGCCCUUCGGGGUGUAAACCCCUUUUCUGCGGGAAGAAGGUGGGGCAACCCACUUGACGGUACCGCAGGAAGAAGGACCGGCUAACUACGUGCCAGCAGCCGCGGUAAUACGUAGGGUCCGAGCGUUGUCCGGAGUUACUGGGCGUAAAGCGCGCGCAGGCGGCGGUGCUGGCCCGGCGUGAAAGCCCCCGGCUCAACCGGGGAGGGUCGUCGGGGACCGCACCGCUUGAGGGCGGUAGGGGCUGGUGGAAUGCCUGGUGUAGUGGUGAAAUGCGUAGAGAUCAGGCGGAACACCCGUGGCGAAGGCGGCCAGCUGGGCCGUCCCUGACGCUGAGGCGCGAAGGCGUGGGGAGCGAACGG
RNAcentral lists this ribosomal RNA (417 nucleotides) under uncultured bacterium. Its description in RNAcentral is "bacterial SSU rRNA". It matches the Rfam family "Bacterial small subunit ribosomal RNA", at positions 355 to 775 of the family's 1533-position model. The record is from RNAcentral.